This 24-nucleotide non-coding RNA is filed under the name Drosophila erecta. The record is from RNAcentral. Lineage: Eukaryota; Metazoa; Arthropoda; Insecta; Diptera; Drosophilidae. RNAcentral also lists the same sequence under 1 other name.
UGCUAUUACUAUCAUUUCGCUGCG